RNAcentral lists this ribosomal RNA (788 nucleotides) under uncultured Lactobacillus sp. RNAcentral's name for it is "bacterial SSU rRNA". It matches the Rfam family "Bacterial small subunit ribosomal RNA", at positions 28 to 776 of the family's 1533-position model. Lineage: Bacteria; Bacillati; Bacillota; Bacilli; Lactobacillales; Lactobacillaceae. The record is from RNAcentral.
GACGAACGCUGGCGGCGUGCCUAAUACAUGCAAGUCGAGCGAGCUUGCCUAGAUGAAUUUGGUGCUUGCACCAAAUGAAACUAGAUACAAGCGAGCGGCGGACGGGUGAGUAACACGUGGGUAACCUGCCCAAGAGACUGGGAUAACACCUGGAAACAGAUGCUAAUACCGGAUAACAACACUAGACGCAUGUCUAGAGUUUAAAAGAUGGUUCUGCUAUCACUCUUGGAUGGACCUGCGGUGCAUUAGCUAGUUGGUAAGGUAACGGCUUACCAAGGCAAUGAUGCAUAGCCGAGUUGAGAGACUGAUCGGCCACAUUGGGACUGAGACACGGCCCAAACUCCUACGGGAGGCAGCAGUAGGGAAUCUUCCACAAUGGACGCAAGUCUGAUGGAGCAACGCCGCGUGAGUGAAGAAGGGCUUCGGCUCGUAAAGCUCUGUUGGUAGUGAAGAAAGAUAGAGGUAGUAACUGGCCUUUAUUUGACGGUAAUUACUUAGAAAGUCACGGCUAACUACGUGCCAGCAGCCGCGGUAAUACGUAGGUGGCAAGCGUUGUCCGGAUUUAUUGGGCGUAAAGCGAGUGCAGGCGGUUCAAUAAGUCUGAUGUGAAAGCCUUCGGCUCAACCGGAGAAUUGCAUCAGAAACUGUUGAACUUGAGUGCAGAAGAGGAGAGUGGAACUCCAUGUGUAGCGGUGGAAUGCGUAGAUAUAUGGAAGAACACCAGUGGCGAAGGCGGCUCUCUGGUCUGCAACUGACGCUGAGGCUCGAAAGCAUGGGUAGCGAACAGG